AACGAACGCUGGCGGCAUGCCUAACACAUGCAAGUCGAACGAGACCUUCGGGUCUAGUGGCGCACGGGUGCGUAACGCGUGGGAACCUUCCCUUAGGGUCGGAAUAACUCCCCGAAAGGGGUGCUAAUACCGGAUAAUGUCUUCGGACCAAAGAUUUAUCGCCUUUGGAUGGGCCCGCGUUGCAUUAGCUAGUUGGUAGGGUAAAAGCUUACCAAGGCGACGAUCCAUAGAUGGUCUGAGAGGAUGAUCAGCCACACUGGGAGUGGGACACGGCCCAGACUCCUCCGGGAGGCAGCAGUGGGGAAUGUUGGACCGUGGGCGAAGGCAUGAUCCAGCUAUGACGCGUGAGCGAUGAAGGCAUUAGGGUUGUAAAGCUCUAUUACCCGGGAUGAUCAUGACAGUACCGGAAGAAUAAGCUCCGGCUAACUACGUG
Molecule: ribosomal RNA, 433 nt
Filed under: uncultured bacterium
Lineage: Bacteria
Description: partial 16S ribosomal RNA
Rfam family: Bacterial small subunit ribosomal RNA
Source: RNAcentral